GAGGAUAGGGAGGACAGUUCCAGCACUAGAGGGAAAGUUCAAAGGGUGUGGGAGACAUCCUAUUGUGGUCCUACACAGAUUCAAGCCGAGCCAAUCACGAGGACAAAAGAUAGAAGGAGUUUAAUUCGGUUUGGGCUUGGUUUGGACCCACCAGACAGACACGGAGUAAAAAUAGCAUAGCUCCUCCAUAUGAAGUCGGAUUGGGGUGAGUAAAUACUCAUUGGCCCUACUAUCAUAUUCCUUCUGAGGUGGCCACAAUCAUCGAAGCAAGGCAUCGGUUGUAACUUAGGUUUUCUGUUUUGUAACAUAGUCGAGUCCAAGUCAGCCCAAAACUAUUGUAGGGUUAUAUAUAACCAUGUACAUGACCUAAGAGGUUAGACCACAUUUAUUAUUCAUCAAAACUUUCAGCAUAUGCUGUUGUUCUCAUCUAGGGUUUAGCCUCUUGG
This 446-nucleotide long non-coding RNA is filed under the name Setaria viridis. RNAcentral describes it as "long non-coding RNA (SVIR_LNC004574)". The record is from RNAcentral. Lineage: Eukaryota; Viridiplantae; Streptophyta; Magnoliopsida; Poales; Poaceae.